Long non-coding RNA from Phycodurus eques (leafy seadragon), 896 nucleotides. RefSeq lists it as uncharacterized. The transcript has 7 exons. Lineage: Eukaryota; Metazoa; Chordata; Actinopteri; Syngnathiformes; Syngnathidae. The record is from RefSeq and is a predicted model, not a curated record.
AUAAAAUCGAUCGGAAACCUUCGUGAACAUUCGGUUCCUGUGUGCUGAAGCGCAAGCACGAACAGUCUCGAAGAUGACGGCUUUGCAUGCAACUCAUCUGAACACCACAACAGGCGGAUGUCCCGCGGUGGCCAUUUUGCGAGUAAGAAACCACGAGCCAGUGAGGUGGUGGCCAUCUUGUACAAGGGCAACCUGAGCCAGUCAGGGUGAACUUCCCGUGAUGACCAUUUUGCACGAGCCAGUCGGGCGGAUGUCCCGCGGUGGCCAUUUUGCGAGUAAGCAACCACGAGCCAGUGAGGUAUGUACGUUUUUUAGUUUUUAAAUAUUUGAACAUCUUUGUCGCUGUGAUGACGAUUUUUCCUGCCAUUCGUAGUUUCCACCAGAGGUCAUGUGACCAAAGACGGCUUAACACUUCCUUGGAUGUCUGAGCGAACCACUGAAAUGUGACUUCUUGUCAAGUUUGUUUGCAUUAAAACUAACUUUCUCUAUCUCACUUUCCAGGCGGAUGUCCCGCGGUGGCCAUUUUGCGAGUAAGCAACCACGAGCCAGUGAGGCGGAUGUCCCGCGGUGGCCAUUUUGCGAGUAAGCAACCACGAGCCAGUGAGGUAUGUACGUUUUUUAUUUUUUAAAUAUUUGAACAGUCUUUGUCGCUGUGAUGACGAUUUUUCCUGCCAUUCGUAGUUUCCACCAGAGGUCACAUGACCAAAGAUGGCUUCAUACUUCCUUGGAUGUCUGAGCGGCACUUCUGGAUGCUCGUGUCAGUUGGGAUUUGGACAGACUGCUGAUACCUGUUUUGUCCUCUUCCCGCAGGUACAGACUACAAGCAGGCAGUGUCUGGAAGAAGAAAAAUGUUCGUUUGCUCUGUUUCUGUUGAAUAAAAUAACUUGAAAUCUUGA